CCAAACAGAUUCUUCAUGCUAGUUGGUGGGAGAGAACUAAAGUACGCUAGCUUGACAGGGUGAAGGAAGAACAGUGCUCAGACGCUUCACAACAUAACAUCGGUGCAAUGGCUGUUCCUCCUUCAUAUUCAGACCUGGGCAAGACUGCCAAGGACAUAUUCAGCAAGGGCUAUGGCUUCGGCAUUGUGAAGUUGGACCUGAAGACCAAGUCUCAGAGUGGAGUGGAGUUCAACACAUCAGGUUCCAGUAACACAGACACGGGGAAGGCAGCAGGUAACCUGGAGACCAAGUACAAGAUGAAGGAGCUGGGCCUGAGCUUCAACCAGAAGUGGAACACCGACAACACCCUGGCUACAGAGGUCACUGUGGAGGACCAGCUGGCUCAGGGACUCAAGGUGGCCCUGGACACAUCCUUCGUACCAAACACGGGCAAGAAGAGUGGCAAGCUGAAGACUGGCUACAAGCGUGACUUCCUUAAUGUGGGCUGUGAUGUUGACUUCGAGGGUCCCAUAAUCCACGCAGCAGCCGUGGUGGGCUAUGACGGCUGGCUUGCCGGGUACCAGAUGGCCUUCGAUAUGGCCAAGUCCAAACUGGCCCAGAACAACUUCGCCCUGGGAUACAAGGCUGGAGACUUCCAGCUCCACACCAACGUUAAUGAUGGGACUGAGUUUGGAGGUUCUAUCUACCAGAAGGUGGAUGACAAGCUGGAGACGGCGGUCACUCUGGCCUGGACGGCCGGCAGCAACAACACACGCUUCGGCAUCGCAGCCAAAUACGCCCUGGACAAAGAUGCUUCCCUGUCUGCCAAAGUGAACAACGCCAGCCUGAUUGGAGUCGGCUACACCCAGACCCUCAGGCCAGGUGUGAAGGUGACUCUGUCAGCCCUGAUCGACGGGAAGAACUUCAACACCGGCGGCCACAAAGUGGGCCUGGGCUUCGAGCUGGAGGCAUAGAGCGGCAGGGAACAAGACCCAACAACCAAGAGAAGAGCCCAGAACCAAUCACCCCCAUUCCCAACCCCACACACCCUACCACAGCCCUUAUCCAAAACAAUCAUCCUGUAGACACUCCAUUCCCACCUCUCUCUCACACACCACAGUCCCUUUACACUCACACACAUCGAGUGUUUUGGCAGUAAUAGUCAAACCUGUGGCCGUCAUGUCCAUCUUGUCUAAAGUGGCUAAAAUACAUGAAUGAAUAGAGAGACCGAGAGAGGCAUUCUGUAAUGUCAUGGCCGUUAUAGUCUAGCCUUUUGGUUUAGUUGGUUAGUUAUCACUACUAGUCAUCUUGUUUGAAAUGGAGUGUUUCAGUCUGAGUGCAUAAAGGCAAGCACUGGGGAUGGAUACCUCCCCUUUUAGCUGACGUUGUACAGAAACACUGGCUAAGUUUUUUUGUAAAUCUUCUGACUGGUUACUGAAGCGGCACUAAUAUUUCAGUAGGCGUUUGGCUGAGUAGUCUUCGGUAAACGUGUCGCUCGGCGUGAACUUACGUUUAUUUUCCCCUUCGUAUUUCAUUGUAAGCAUGUCUGAAUGAAUACCGGGUGUAGGACAGGAGGCUUAGUAAGGAUGGAAGCCGGAUGCAUUUGAAGCCCGGUGUUCUCUUGGUUUAAAAAGAAUGCCGUCUGUUUCUUUUGUAUUGGUUCGAGUAUAAAAUGUUUCGGUGUAUUUUGGUUGUGCUGUGUUCAGUUGUGGACCAUGUUGUCCGUUAAACCCAGUGUGAUCGUAGGAUGUUUGUGAUUUUGGAUGGGCACAACUUCAAUUGUAUGCCACUUCAGCCAAUUUUCUUUCAAUUCCUGACUUGACCGAACUGAGAUUUUAAGUGAGCCCAACCCUGAGAGGGAACCAACCAUUUCACCACCGCUACAGUCUGCUGUUACUGUAACUACACUGAAUACGGGAGUCUGCAGGAGAGUUUAAGGAAGAUUCUACAUUACGCAUACAGCGCUACAGACAGAAGGACCUAUUAGGAUUGUUGUCGGCUGAAUGCAGUUCUACAUGUCCCAAAACGCAAUAUUUCUUAAUUUCCUUGUCUUUGCUCUGAGGCCACUCGUCUUUAGAGGACAGCUGUGGUGAAAUCUUCCCAGUAGGUGAGGAAAGAUGUCAUUUCUACAGUGUUGCUUAUAUCGAUCUACUCUUAAGAUCUGUGGUCACAUGAAGAGGGAUGAGGAUGUUGUUGCUCAUGCUGCUUUAGACUUACACUCCUUCCUGGCUGUCAUUGGUGCCCCUGGGAGCCAAACGACCCUCCCUGUAUGUCCCACUCUCUGUACAUAGUAUACAUAUUCUCCUCCUGAGUUUCAACACUGAUACGGUGAGACAACAUUUAAAGGGAUGCUGUUGUAUAGGCUCGGUCCCUCCUUUACCAAGUCAUAAACCAUGACUCCAUGUAUCUUUGUUUUCUUUCCAAUUUUGUCAUAAUUAUGAAUCUUUUUGAAUUGGUUGUGUUCAAGACACAGCAUCUCGUUUUUUCCCCCCAACCUCAAGUAAUGGAAUUCUAAUUAAAAAAAGCUUGUCUUGA
RNA transcript from Oncorhynchus keta (chum salmon), 2514 nucleotides. It is a transcript of the gene named voltage-dependent anion-selective channel protein 2-like, with no coding region annotated. The transcript is spliced from 8 exons. Lineage: Eukaryota; Metazoa; Chordata; Actinopteri; Salmoniformes; Salmonidae. The record is from RefSeq and is a predicted model, not a curated record.